UCCUACGGGAGGCAGCAGUGGGAAUUUGGACAAUGGGGGAAACCCUGAUCCAGCCAGUGCCGCGUGCAGGAUGAAGGUCCUUCGGUUGUAAACUGCUUUUGUACGGAACGAAAAGGUCCUUUCUAAUAAAGAGGGCUCAUGACGGUACCGUAAGAAUAAGCACCGGCUAACUACGUGCCAGCAGCCGCGGUAAUACGUAGGGUGCGAGCGUUAAUCGGAAUUACUGGGCGUAAAGCGUGCGCAGGCGGUUAUAUAAGACAGAUGUGAAAAUCCCCGGGCUCAACCUGGGAACUGCAUUAGUGACUGUAUAGCUGGAGUGCGGCAGAGGGGGAUGGAAUUCCGCGUGUAGCAGUGAAAUGCGUAGAUAUGCGGAGGAACACCGAUGGCGAAGGCAAUCCCCUGGGCCUGCACUGACGCUCAUGCACGAAAGCGUGGGGAGCAAACAGGAUUAGAUACCCUGGUAGUCCACGCCCUAAACGAUGUCAACUGGUUGUUGGGAAUUCACUUUCUCAGUAACGAAGCUAA
RNAcentral lists this ribosomal RNA (525 nucleotides) under uncultured bacterium. RNAcentral's name for it is "bacterial SSU rRNA". It matches the Rfam family "Bacterial small subunit ribosomal RNA", at positions 337 to 855 of the family's 1533-position model. The record is from RNAcentral.